Molecule: ribosomal RNA, 1439 nt
Filed under: Actinomycetes bacterium
Lineage: Bacteria; Bacillati; Actinomycetota; Actinomycetes
Description: bacterial SSU rRNA
Rfam family: Bacterial small subunit ribosomal RNA
Source: RNAcentral
GUGGAUCGGCGUCGUGCUUACCAUGCAAGUCGAACGAUGAUGCCCAGCUUGCUGGGCGGAUUAGUGGCGAACGGGUGAGUAAUACGUGAGUAACCUGCCCUUGACUCUGGGAUAAGCCUGGGAAACUGGGUCUAAUACUGGAUACUACCGCCCACCGCAUGGUGGGUGGUGGAAAGGGUUUUACUGGUUUUGGAUGGGCUCACGGCCUAUCAGCUUGUUGGUGGGGUAAUGGCUCACCAAGGCGACGACGGGUAGCCGGCCUGAGAGGGUGACCGGCCACACUGGGACUGAGACACGGCCCAGACUCCUACGGGAGGCAGCAGUGGGGAAUAUUGCACAAUGGGCGGAAGCCUGAUGCAGCGACGCCGCGUGAGGGAUGACGGCCUUCGGGUUGUAAACCUCUUUCAGUAGGGAAGAAGCGAGAGUGACGGUACCUGCAGAAGAAGCGCCGGCUAACUACGUGCCAGCAGCCGCGGUAAUACGUAGGGCGCAAGCGUUGUCCGGAAUUAUUGGGCGUAAAGAGCUCGUAGGCGGUUUGUCGCGUCUGCUGUGAAAGCCCGGGGCUCAACCCCGGGUCUGCAGUGGGUACGGGCAGACUAGAGUGCAGUAGGGGAGACUGGAAUUCCUGGUGUAGCGGUGAAAUGCGCAGAUAUCAGGAGGAACACCGAUGGCGAAGGCAGGUCUCUGGGCUGUUACUGACGCUGAGGAGCGAAAGCAUGGGGAGCGAACAGGAUUAGAUACCCUGGUAGUCCAUGCCGUAAACGUUGGGCACUAGGUGUGGGGGACAUUCCACGUUUUCCGCGCCGUAGCUAACGCAUUAAGUGCCCCGCCUGGGGAGUACGGCCGCAAGGCUAAAACUCAAAGGAAUUGACGGGGGCCCGCACAAGCGGCGGAGCAUGCGGAUUAAUUCGAUGCAACGCGAAGAACCUUACCAAGGCUUGACAUUCACCGGACCGCCCCAGAGAUGGGGUUUCCCUUCGGGGCUGGUGGACAGGUGGUGCAUGGUUGUCGUCAGCUCGUGUCGUGAGAUGUUGGGUUAAGUCCCGCAACGAGCGCAACCCUCGUUCUAUGUUGCCAGCACGUGAUGGUGGGGACUCAUAGGAGACUGCCGGGGUCAACUCGGAGGAAGGUGGGGAUGACGUCAAAUCAUCAUGCCCCUUAUGUCUUGGGCUUCACGCAUGCUACAAUGGCCGGUACAAAGGGUUGCGAUACUGUGAGGUGGAGCUAAUCCCAAAAAGCCGGUCUCAGUUCGGAUUGAGGUCUGCAACUCGACCUCAUGAAGUCGGAGUCGCUAGUAAUCGCAGAUCAGCAACGCUGCGGUGAAUACGUUCCCGGGCCUUGUACACACCGCCCGUCAAGUCACGAAAGUUGGUAACACCCGAAGCCGGUGGCCUAACCCCUUGUGGGAGGGAGCCGUCGAAGGUGACGCAGUCCCUAGC